RNAcentral lists this ribosomal RNA (354 nucleotides) under uncultured bacterium. Its description in RNAcentral is "partial 16S ribosomal RNA". It matches the Rfam family "Bacterial small subunit ribosomal RNA", at positions 338 to 709 of the family's 1533-position model. The record is from RNAcentral.
CCUACGGUGAGCAGCAGUAGGGAAUAUUGCUCAAUGGGGGAAACCCUGAAGCAGCAACGCCGCGUGGAGGAUGAAGGUUUUCGGAUUGUAAACUCCUUUUGUUAGAGAAGAUAAUGACGGUAUCUAACGAAUAAGCACCGGCUAACUCCGUGCCAGCAGCCGCGGUAAUACGGAGGGUGCAAGCGUUACUCGGAAUCACUGGGCGUAAAGAGCGCGUAGGCGGGAUAGCAAGUCAGAUGUGAAAUCCUAUGGCUUAACCAUAGAACUGCAUUUGAAACUGUUAUUCUAGAGUAUGGGAGAGGUAAGUGGAAUUCUUGGUGUAGGGGUAGAAUGCGUAGAGAUCAAGAGGAAUAC